RNAcentral lists this microRNA precursor (124 nucleotides) under Daucus carota subsp. sativus. RNAcentral describes it as "sRNA DCAR_mi00105". It matches the Rfam family "MIR396 microRNA precursor family". Lineage: Eukaryota; Viridiplantae; Streptophyta; Magnoliopsida; Apiales; Apiaceae. The record is from Rfam by way of RNAcentral.
CUCUGUGUUCUUCCACAGCUUUCUUGAACUGCUUAAUUCUCUUAUCUAAUUAUAUAUCGGUCGGAUCUAGCUAGAUUUGGAUGGCUUUACAGCAGUUCAAUAAAGCUGUGGGAAGAUACGGCGA